UCUGCGGACAUUUCAGUGUGAAACUCGGUCGAGUAAUUUUCGUAGUCGGCUUUAAGUGCGCAAAAAUUUUUAAGUAAAUUAUUCCAUAAUAAAGAAUUCCGCGUAUAUAUUAUUAUAGGAUUUAAAGAGAAAAUUCUAAACGCUUUCUCUGCGUUUUUUUGUGAAAGUGUGUUUUUUAUAAAAAAAGAACAAACAAAAUGUCAGACAGAAAGGCUGUUAUCAAAAAUGCGGAUAUGUCUGAAGAGAUGCAGCAAGAUGCUGUUGAUUGUGCGACUCAAGCUCUGGAAAAGUAUAACAUAGAAAAGGAUAUAGCAGCAUUUAUCAAGAAAGAAUUUGAUAAAAAAUAUAAUCCAACGUGGCACUGCAUCGUAGGACGUAAUUUUGGAAGUUAUGUAACGCAUGAGACAAGACAUUUUAUAUAUUUCUACCUGGGUCAGGUAGCCAUUCUUCUCUUUAAGAGUGGAUAAGCUAAUUUCUAUUCUCACAUCUUUCCUUUCUUCUUUUCUCCUUUUCCUUACUGAUGAUACUAUACAGAACACGAAAUUACCGUACCAUUUGUAAAAACCAACUGCAUUAUGAUGAAUACGAGAUUUGCUUUAAAAAUAGUAAAGCAUACUCCUAACAAACAAAGUAAGUACGUGAAGUCGAAGCUAGGAAUUCACUUGGAGACACCAUGCCGACUAUCCUACACGCACACUACACAAACCAACUAUACUGUGACGUAUAUGAAAGAGCGAACGUCACUAUGCUUCUGACAUGCUUCCACUUGUAAGCAACAAAAAGUUUCAGCUCUGCAUGUAAUCACGUCUCAAUAUACGUUUGUGAGUUAGAAAAUCACCCUGUUCCCAAGAUGCACACAAAAAAAAAAUAUAUAAGUAUUCAACGAAAAUUGUUAAUUUGCGUUAAAUACUAUAAUUGACAGCAUAAUAGAAUAAUUAUAUGGGACGAAUUGAUUUCUAUUCAUUUAAGUAGAACGUAUGAAAGAAAAAAGAAUAUAUAUAUAAAUAUAUCUAAUUAUUUAGAUAUAUAUAAUACAUAUGGUUAUGUAUGCGUGGUGUUAUAUAGUCUUGCGUGAAUCUAGUGGAUUCCUAUCUUUAAGUUCUAAUUAAACAUUCAAGAUCCUGUAUAAAUAUUUACACACAGAAUAGACUAUUUCUUAUUUUGGACGAAGCAAGGAACAUAUGUAUAAUUUCUAGUC
This 1198-nucleotide unclassified non-coding RNA is filed under the name Polistes canadensis. RNAcentral describes it as "dynein light chain 2, cytoplasmic, transcript variant X1". The record is from RNAcentral. Lineage: Eukaryota; Metazoa; Arthropoda; Insecta; Hymenoptera; Vespidae.